Molecule: ribosomal RNA, 514 nt
Filed under: uncultured microorganism
Description: bacterial SSU rRNA
Rfam family: Bacterial small subunit ribosomal RNA
Source: RNAcentral
GAGUUUGAUCCUGGCUCAGGAUGAACGCUGGCGGCGUGCCUAAUACAUGCAAGUCGAGCGAACGGACGAGAAGCUUGCUUCUCUGAUGUUAGCGGCGGACGGGUGAGUAACACGUGGGUAACCUACCUAUAAGACUGGGAUAACUCCGGGAAACCGGGGCUAAUACCGGAUAACACAUGAAACCGCAUGGUUUCAUGAUGAAAGACGGUCUUGCUGUCACUUAUAGAUGGAUCCGCGCUGCAUUAGCUAGUUGGUAAGGUAACGGCUUACCAAGGCAACGAUGCAUAGCCGACCUGAGAGGGUGAUCGGCCACACUGGAACUGAGACACGGUCCAGACUCCUACGGGAGGCAGCAGUAGGGAAUCUUCCGCAAUGGGCGAAAGCCUGACGGAGCAACGCCGCGUGAGUGAUGAAGGUCUUCGGAUCGUAAAACUCUGUUAUUAGGGAAGAACAUAUGUGUAAGUAACUGUGCACAUCUUGACGGUACCUAAUCAGAAAGCCACGGCUAACUACG